This 298-nucleotide ribosomal RNA is filed under the name uncultured bacterium. Its description in RNAcentral is "partial 16S ribosomal RNA". It matches the Rfam family "Bacterial small subunit ribosomal RNA", at positions 1048 to 1346 of the family's 1533-position model. The record is from RNAcentral.
GCUGUNCUCAGCUCGUGUUGUGAAAUGUUGGGUUAAGUCCCGCAACGAGCGCAACCCUUAUCCUUUGUUGCCAGCGGUUAGGCCGGGAACUCAAAGGAGACUGCCAGUGAUAAACUGGAGGAAGGUGGGGAUGACGUCAAGUCAUCAUGGCCCUUACGAGUAGGGCUACACACGUGCUACAAUGGCGCAUACAAAGAGAAGCGACCUCGCGAGAGCAAGCGGACCUCAUAAAGUGCGUCGUAGUCCGGAUUGGAGUCUGCAACUCGACUCCAUGAAGUCGGAAUCGCUAGUAAUCGUA